UGGGGAAUAUUGGACAAUGGGCGCAAGCCUGAUCCAGCCAUGCCGCGUGAGUGAUGAAGGCUCUAGGGUUGUAAAGCUCUUUCACCGGUGAAGAUAAUGACGGUAACCGGAGAAGAAGCCCCGGCUAACUUCGUGCCAGCAGCCGCGGUAAUACGAAGGGGGCUAGCGUUGUUCGGAUUUACUGGGCGUAAAGCGCACGUAGGCGGACUAUUAAGUCAGGGGUGAAAUCCCGGGGCUCAACCCCGGAACUGCCUUUGAUACUGGUAGUCUUGAGUUCGAGAGAGGUGAGUGGAAUUCCGAGUGUAGAGGGGAAAUUCGUAGAUAUUCGGAGGAACACCAGUGGCGAAGGCGGCUCACUGGCUCGAUACUGACGCUGAGGUGCGAAAGCGUGGGGAGCAAACAGG
RNAcentral lists this ribosomal RNA (404 nucleotides) under Actinomycetes bacterium. Its description in RNAcentral is "Actinobacteria bacterium partial 16S ribosomal RNA". It matches the Rfam family "Bacterial small subunit ribosomal RNA", at positions 355 to 776 of the family's 1533-position model. Lineage: Bacteria; Bacillati; Actinomycetota; Actinomycetes. The record is from RNAcentral.